UCUGAGGGUAUUUGCUUAUGUCACAAUCCCUGUGUCUCUACCAUGCUGGGUGGGUAGGAGGAUGCGGCCUUGUGGGUGGUAGCAGGUAUGUUGGUGAACACUCCAUGCUUCUAUGGAACCAGCUGUAGAGGAGUGGUGAUGCAAUGAGCAUCCUGGAAGUUUAGUUGUCAUUUGUCACCUUUUGGAUAAUGGAGUAGAUUUCUGAAGUUAUUUCUCCUUGUUUGGUGUUCUGCCUGCGAUUUGGGCAAGUGGACUUCAGAUUAUGUCUUCGUAGACUGAAAGACUUGGUUAUCACCUUUAUAAUAGGAGAGAAAAUCACUGAGUGCCAACUAUGCCAGCCACACAUCGAUACUAGAUUUCUACAAGUGAAAAUCCUGGAUCAUAGGGGAUGUAUGAAGUGCUCUGAAGGCUGCCAACAAAAUGUUAAGUCAGUCCACUGACAGAAAGGAAGAGAAACCUCAGAAAAACAUUAUUGCUUAUGUUCCAUCUGAAUCUGAGCAGCUGACCUGAGGAAGGAGCAAUCUUAUUCAAGGGCUACCCUGUUCCUCAUAAAUUCUUGGAAGCAGCUCUAUCACCUUAUUGGCAUCACUUAUGGUGGAAAGCAUGCUCAGACCUGUCAUUUCAAGCUUCUCCUCCCUUUCUGUGCCCUAAUAUCUCAUUGGCCAAAGCAAUAACAUCAAAUUGAAGGGCAAGGAACUUCUCAAAAGAAGAAAAUGCUUACUGAUCCCCAAUCUAGAAGAACUCCACAGUUGUAAUUUUUGCCUACUUUUGAGCUGCCUCUGGAUAGAACACAGUCUAUAAAACCAGCGAGGUUAAUAGGAUGUCAUGGCAAGAUUUGCUAACCCCCAGCCCAUGAGCCUUCACUGAGGUGUGGAGUUAGAGUCUCCAGGAAGAUUUCUAAUGGAAACCCCUGCUAGGGGACCUGCUGAUAGCUUCUCCCUCCCUGUACCUUAGGUUUUGUAGAAAAAAAGUUUUGUGAAGGGAAAAAUGUUCUUGGUACUACCAUCUCUCAAGGAUUAGAAAUGUUUACUUCUGUCACACACCACAAGCUAAAAACAAGGGAUGUUUAUUUGAAAAUAUGAAAAUUCAAUUUGCAGAAGUAGGGACAGGCACAUGCAGCAUUGGGCUGUUCUCUCCCCACUGACAUUGCCAGGAUUAAAAAUAGCCGUGCUGUUUGUCCUUCAGUCCUGUAUUGAACCGGAGCCUCUGAGCUGCAUUCUCCUUAGCUUCAUGCUUAAUGAAGCAUAAUUUGUAUUAAUAGCAGCUAUUAAAUCUAGAGUGCUUAAUAGGAAUUUAGAGUGGAGGGUCUGAGUCACCAAGCUCCUCAAACAUGGUCCCCAGAGAGCUGAGCUCAGGCCUGAACACCAGCAGCAAUGAAUCUUGGGCCUGGUAAGGUGAAGCAGCUGUGUUUAGCAGGAGAAAGGGGGAAAAUGAAUGAAGAAACAGGACUCAAAACCUCCAACUCAGCCUGGGGUUUUCUCAAGUUCCAGGUUCUGUAAUACAAGGGGGUCCCUUAUUCAUACUAUGUCUGCAUUCCGGAAAAGGUUGCUGAGUGCUGGAGAACACAUGGGCUUGACAAUUGUACACACUUGCAUUCAGAUUUCGUGCUGCUCUGUGACCUGGCUUUGGUCUCUUAACCUCUCUGAGCCUCAGGUUUUUUUAUCUGAAAAACAAAGGUAAUCAAGUGGUGAUAACAUAAUGGGAGUUAUUGUGAAGAUUAAUGGGGGAAAGAUGCA
Molecule: non-coding RNA, 1736 nt
Organism: Macaca mulatta (Rhesus monkey)
Lineage: Eukaryota; Metazoa; Chordata; Mammalia; Primates; Cercopithecidae
Source: RefSeq, a predicted model, not a curated record